RNAcentral lists this small RNA (1064 nucleotides) under Pan troglodytes (chimpanzee). RNAcentral describes it as "retained intron". Lineage: Eukaryota; Metazoa; Chordata; Mammalia; Primates; Hominidae. The record is from RNAcentral.
AGCGACCUGUAGAGCGAAGAUUUGUACGUAUAUGAACAUCUAACAGCAGCUGUUGGAUCCUAACCCACAUGCCCUCCCAAAUUCUGGUAGAGUACAAACUAGUGUCAGGUCUCCCGGCCCUGAUAUCCCAGAAAAUCUUAGCACAGAGUGGUAUAUAAUCUUCCCUACCGUACUGCAUCUGAGCAUAUAUUUAAAGAUACUACUUUUUUCCAUCUUUAAGCCUUUCCUGCCCAAACCACUUUCCUCUGCUUUUAUUCUGUCUUGAGUAUUAUAGAAGCUAAUUUCAUGGUCUCCUUUCCAGCCUAUAUAUAAAGCAGAUCUGAUACCGUAUCAGGACAGUCCUGAAGGUCCAGACCAUUCUUCUGCUUCAUCUGGGGUCCCCAACCCUCCCAAGGCUCGAACUUACACUGAAACUGUCAACCAUCACUACUUGCUCUUUCAGGACACAGAUUUGGGUUCAUUCCAUGAUCUGCUCCGUAGAGAACCAAUGCUGCGCAUGCAGGAGGGAGAGGGGCAUUCUCAACUCUGCCUGGACAGGCUGCAGCUGGAGGCUAUUCAUAAGGUACGUUUCAGCCCAAACCUGGACUCCUAUGGAUGGCUGGUAUCUGGGGGGCAGUCAGGGCUGGUUCGAAUCCAUUUUGUCCGUGGACUCGCCUCCCCACUGGGCCACCGUAUGCAGCUUGAAAGCCGAGCCCACUUCAAUGCUAUGUUCCAACCAUCCUCCCCCACUAGACGGCCUGGCUUCUCUCCAACCAGCCAUCGCCUUCUGCCCACUCCCUAGCCUUGGCCCACACCAGAUCCUUGGAGUGAAGUCGGUCAAGAACAAAUGGCCCCUAUGCACAGAGCCAUAGGAACUGGGGGCCUUCCCUGGACAGUGAUCAUGCCAGGCCUGGACCUUUAGGCCUGCCUCCCCAGGACUCCUUAGAUCCCACUCUUUCUACAGACUUCUGUGAUCACAGCCCCCUGCGGGCAGGGGGGCUCUCCCUCCACCAACUCUCAAGGCUCCUCAGCCUAAGACUAUGGCUCAUGAGAAACACUCAGGCCUGACCUAGGCUUGGGAGUCA